UCCGUUAUAGAUCAUACGACCAUCACGCACCGAAACAUGUAGUUCACUGAUAUUUACAAGCCAUGCCACUGCCUCAUGAAAAAACUACUUCGUCCGUCUUUCUUCUUCGAAUCCCCACACAGCGUCCUCCCAACCCGGCCGCCGCGGAAGAAGCCGCCGCCGUCCGAGCACUCUUCGAAUUUGAAGGCCUCCUCCAGGAGCGCGACCAUCCCGUCCGCCUGGCCGUCCCGCUCCCCGUCUCCUCCCCCACGCUCCCCACCACCGGCGCUGAGACCGAGUCAUCCGGCGACGACGAGGCCGCAUCUGAAUCCGGCAACGACGAGGCCGCAUCUGAAUCCAGCGACUCCUCCCGCCCCGCGCGCGCCCGCCGCGACCUGAGGUGAGUGUGUGAGUGGUUCCAAUGCACUAGUCUCUCUCCAUAUUCUCUUUGAUCCGGUGCUAGCUGAUCUGAUCCCGACGGUUGUCUCUGUUGUUGUCCGCGAGGGGCCGGGCGAGUGGGGUGCGCAGUGGACGGAGUUCGUCUCGUGGGAGCCCAGGGCGUUCGUCUACCACAAGUUCCUGAUUUCUUAGCAAGAUCAGACAGACAAAAAGGAAGGUUCAGACAAGAUACAACAUGGGUGUCAAGGUGCGCAUAGGUGCAUUCACAAAGAGAAUUCUGAAGCUUCAUGGCGUGCCCCACCAGACCACGUUGUCGACGAGUGCGUCCUUCACCACUCCCUCUGCCAUCAUGGCUCACAUUUUUUGUUCUACAACAGUUGAUGUAGCGUCUUUCAUUGAAUCUUCCACUGUUCAGAUUACCCACACGACUCUUAUGUAAUUAUCAUGGUGCUAAUUCUAUAGUUAUCAGGGUGCUAAUGAUAUAUUUAUCACACUUGCUUAUGGUAAAAUUACCAUGUUGAAUUUUUCAAUGGAGACAUAUAUGUUUUUAACA
Triticum dicoccoides is the source of this 931-nucleotide long non-coding RNA. RefSeq lists it as uncharacterized. The record is from RefSeq and is a predicted model, not a curated record. Lineage: Eukaryota; Viridiplantae; Streptophyta; Magnoliopsida; Poales; Poaceae. The transcript has 2 exons.